This 497-nucleotide ribosomal RNA is filed under the name uncultured bacterium. RNAcentral describes it as "partial 16S ribosomal RNA". It matches the Rfam family "Bacterial small subunit ribosomal RNA", at positions 28 to 507 of the family's 1533-position model. The record is from RNAcentral.
GAUGAACGCUGGCGGCGUGCCUAAUACAUGCAAGUCGAGCGAACGGACGAGAAGCUUGCUUCUCUGAUGUUAGCGGCGGACGGGUGAGUAACACGUGGAUAACCUACCUAUAAGACUGGGAUAACUUCGGGAAACCGGAGCUAAUACCGGAUAAUAUUUUGAACCGCAUGGUUCAAAAGUGAAAGACGGUCUUGCUGUCACUUAUAGAUGGAUCCGCGCUGCAUUAGCGAGUUGGUAAGGUAACGGCUUACCAAGGCAACGAUGCAUAGCCGACCUGAGAGGGUGAUCGGCCACACUGGAACUGAGACACGGUCCAGACUCCUACGGGAGGCAGCAGUAGGGAAUCUUGCGCAAUGGGCGAAAGCCUGACGGAGCAACGCCGCGUGAGUGAUGAAGGUCUUCGGAUCGUAAAACUCUGUUAUUAGGGAAGAACAUAUGUGUAAGUAACUGUGCACAUCUUGACGGUACCUAAUCAGAAAGCCACGGCUAACUACGUG